GUGGGGGAUAUUGCACAAUGGGGGGAACCCUGAUGCAGCGACGCCGCGUGGGUGAAGAAGCGCCUCGGCGCGUAAAGCCCUGUCAGCAGGGAAGAAAAUGACGGUACCUGAAGAAGAAGCCCCGGCUAACUACGUGCCAGCAGCCGCGGUAAUACGUAGGGGGCAAGCGUUAUCCGGAUUUACUGGGUGUAAAGGGGGCGCAGACGGCGAUGCAAGCCAGGAGUGAAAGCCCGGGGCCCAACCCCGGGACUGCUCUUGGAACUGCGUGGCUGGAGUGCAGGAGGGGCAGGCGGAAUUCCUGGUGUAGCGGUGAAAUGCGUAGAUAUCAGGAGGAACACCGGUGGCGAAGGCGGCCUGCUGGACUGCAACUGACGUUGAGGCCCGAAAGCGUGGGGAGCAAACAGGAUUAGAAACCCUGGUAGUCC
RNAcentral lists this ribosomal RNA (425 nucleotides) under uncultured Lachnospiraceae bacterium. RNAcentral's name for it is "bacterial SSU rRNA". It matches the Rfam family "Bacterial small subunit ribosomal RNA", at positions 354 to 796 of the family's 1533-position model. The record is from RNAcentral. Lineage: Bacteria; Bacillati; Bacillota; Clostridia; Lachnospirales; Lachnospiraceae.